GGCAAGGUGGCCGAGCGGUCCAAGGCGCCAGGUUCAGGUCCACCUGAAUUCGUUAAAUCCACGAGAUUUCCUGGUCUCAGAAAUGGGGCGUGAGUUCGAAUCUCACCCUUGUCA
This is a non-coding RNA of Achaetomium macrosporum, 114 nucleotides long. The record is from the annotation of a GenBank genome assembly. NCBI's taxonomy places the organism in Eukaryota, Fungi, Ascomycota, Sordariomycetes, Sordariales, Chaetomiaceae.